Molecule: microRNA precursor, 78 nt
Filed under: Schistosoma margrebowiei
Lineage: Eukaryota; Metazoa; Platyhelminthes; Trematoda; Strigeidida; Schistosomatidae
Description: mir-3492 microRNA precursor family
Rfam family: mir-3492 microRNA precursor family
Source: Rfam by way of RNAcentral
AGCCUUUUGUAUCCGUGCUGAGAUUUCUUCACACACCAGACCACAAGGGCUGAUGAGACUUCCAAGAUAAGUGAAGCG